Long non-coding RNA from Mytilus californianus (California mussel), 1637 nucleotides. RefSeq lists it as uncharacterized. The record is from RefSeq and is a predicted model, not a curated record. The transcript is spliced from 2 exons. Lineage: Eukaryota; Metazoa; Mollusca; Bivalvia; Mytilida; Mytilidae.
UUUAAGUGAAUGGAUCUCGAUGAAAUUUUACCAUAAGGUUCAACACCACAAAAGGAAGGUGGGGAUUGAUUUUGGGGGUUAUGGUACUAACAGUUAAGGAAUUAGGGGCCAAAAGGGGCCAAAAAUAAGCAUUUUUGUAACUUCCAGACAUAACUUGUGUGUAAGUGUAUGGAUCUCUCUGACAUUGUACCACAAGGUUCCAUAUCACAAAGGGAAUGCUGGGAUUGAUUUUGGGGGUAAUUGUCUCCAAAUUUUAGGAAUUAGGGGCCAAAAAGGGGCAAAAAACAAGCAUUUUUCUAGUUUCAUGACAAUAACUUGCUUGUAAGUGUAUGGAUCUUUAUGAAAUUGUACUACAAGGUUCCAUAUCACAAAGGGAAUACUGGGAUUGAUUUUUGGGGUAAUUUCCUCCAAAUAUUAGGAAUUAGGGGCAAAAAAGGGGCAAAAAACAAGCAUUUUUCUAGUUUCAUGACAAUAACUUGUUUGUAAGUGUAUGGAUCUUUAUGAAAUUGUACUACAAGGUUCCAUAUCACAAAGGGAAGGCUGGGAUUGAUUUUGGGGGUUUUCACUCAAAAUUUUAGUAAUUAGGGGCCAGAAAAGGGCAAAAAAAAACAUGCAUUUUUCUAGUUUCAGGACAAUAACUUGUGUGUAAGUGUAUGGAUCUUUAUGAAAUUGUACUGCAAGGUUCCAUAUCACAAAGGGAAAGCUGGAAUUGAGUUUGGGGGUAAUUGCCCUAAACGUUUAGGAAUUUGGGGCCAAAAAGGGGCCAAAAAACAAGCAUUUUUCUAGUUUCCAGACAAUAACUUGUGUUCAAGUGUAUGAAUCUCUCUGAAAUUGUAGUGCAAGGUACCAUACCACAAAGGGAAAGCUGGGAUUGAGUUUGGGGGCGGUGAAUCAUAAGGGGGUUAAAAAAAUUGGGGGGGGAUUUUUUUUUUCCUUUUUUUUCUUUAACAUUUUCCAUUUUAAAUUGGUUAUUUCUGAUUUAUAUAUAAAAGCAAAUAAUAAUGAUAUGGUUUGAAUAGGCAUACAUGUGAACCUCCCGACAGGAGUACAAUAAUCCCGUUUUCAGGGGUCUCCUCCCGACCUCCCGUUGAAGAGGAAAAAUCCCGUGUAUGAAAUUUUUCAUGAAUGAAAAAUUUCUGCCCAACAUAUCAUCUCAGGCAUCUGGUGUAACUGACAUUACCUGAAGUUAUAUUUUACCUGUAAAUCAAUUAACAUGCAUAAUUAUAUGGCUUCACUUGUCAGCUUGGGUGUCAAACAUACUGGUAAGCAACGAUUUUUACCUCAGGCUAACUGCCGUUGUGUAACAAAAACUGUGUAUUUAUUGGGUUACUUCCCUUGAUUUAUCCUGUUUUAAGUUACUUUCCUUUUAAUAAUGAAAAUUUUUAAAAGAAUAUCAAUAAAAUAUAAAUUGAACAAAUAAUCAUAAAAGGAUGGUUAUUAAAUGAUUUUAAAUGUCUUAGGACAAAUAAAAAAAUAAUAAUUUGAAAAUUAUUUGAGGAUUCUAUACUUCCUUUUAAGGCUUAAAUUGAAAUUUAUAUAAUAACUAUGACCCUAACUUUACAGAUAGAAUGAAUUUCUGAGUUUGCAAAUAAAAACUAUUUGCAAGAGAAAAAAAAAAUAAAUAAAAACUAUUUGCA